GACGAACGCUGGCGGCGUGCUUAACACAUGCAAGUCGAACGGAAAGGCCCCUUUGGGGGUACUCGAUUGGCUAACGGGCGAGUAACACGUGCGUAACCUGCCCUUCACUUCGGGAUAACUUCAUGAAACUGGCUCUAAUACCUGCUAGGAAUCCUUUCUGCAUGGUGGGGGUUGGAAAGCUUCGGCGGUUUUGGAUGGACUCGCGGCUUAUCAGCUUGUUGGUGGGGUAGUGGGUUACCAAGGCUUUGACGGGUAGCCGGCCUGGGAGGGGGAACGGCCAAAUUGGGGCUGAGAUACGGCCCCGACCCCUACGGGAGGGAGGAGUGGGGAAUAUUGCAAAAUGGGCGGAAGCCUGAUGGCGCAACGCCGCGGGCGGGAUGACGGGCUUCGGGUUGGAAAACGGCUUCAGCAGGGGCGAAGCUGGUGGUGACGGUAACUGCAGAAGAAGCACCGGCUAACUACGUG
RNAcentral lists this ribosomal RNA (465 nucleotides) under uncultured bacterium. RNAcentral describes it as "partial 16S ribosomal RNA". It matches the Rfam family "Bacterial small subunit ribosomal RNA", at positions 28 to 507 of the family's 1533-position model. The record is from RNAcentral.